Molecule: long non-coding RNA, 592 nt
Organism: Tarenaya hassleriana
Lineage: Eukaryota; Viridiplantae; Streptophyta; Magnoliopsida; Brassicales; Cleomaceae
Exons: 2
Source: RefSeq, a predicted model, not a curated record
CAUUCAAGUCCGUACUUCGGGAGGGUGGUAUUUCCUAUCGUCGAAUUCAAAAAUCUCGCGAUUGCUUGAAGAGACAGAUUUCAAUUUUCUAAACUCGAUUCAGCAAUGUUUCCAUCCACUGUGUCCUGACAAGAAGCCAGUACAAGAACCAUGAAGGGGGGUACAUAUACAACACAAAUGAAGAGUGUAAUACGAGGGCAUGAGGUUCCCUUCAGCUCAGCUUCCUACACGGUCUUAUCCCAAAUAUGUAAUGCCCGGAAUUCCUACUUGACGCCUCACAUUUUAAAGGUAAAUUGUCCUGUGAUCCCAACAGUUUUCUGAUGAUCUACUCGUGGAAUUGGUCGUGGGUUUGCUCGUUUGGUGGAAUUUUUACGGCAGAAGGCGUUGCCAUAGACAAAACCCUUCGGGAUUCUCCAUCAAAGUUCUCUCUUGGUUACUGUUUCUAUAACUACACUCAGUGCACGUAUUGGACAUGAAUGCUCACAUAUCUUUCAGGCAUCAUUUGCCGGGUGUAAGCUAUUACGGAGGCUCUUGGUAUGUAUUGAAGAAUUUAUACGGCCGUAUCUAACAAAAGGGUAGUUUUUGGGUUGUA